GAAAAAGCACUGGGAACUAAAGAUGCCUUUAAACUGAGAGGGCUACUCAGCAGGGAUCCAGGAUUUCAAAUCUCUGCCAGGAAGUGGCUUCAGACGCUUGAAGCCUGAAGAUGGAAAAUCCUAACCCUUGGUUUUGCUUCAGGUUCCAGCAAGUAGGAACAGAGUUCCCAUAAAAUGAAGCUAAGGUCACUGGCAGAGUGCAAUGGGUUAAACUGACAUGACCGGAAUUGGACAGUGAGCACUGCUGGCCCCAUCUCGGAAACGAGAGUGGACCAGGAGGAGUUUUCAGAGGAGUCUGUGAUAGGCGCUUUGUGACUCCAGGACACGUUGAGUAUACGUGAUUGAUGAAACCAAUGGUACAUCUGGAACACUGGCUGAAAUGAAGAAUGGAAAAUGUUAGCUUUCCAGGCCUCCUCAGGCCAGGAAGGCAUACUGGAGAGAUACGGCAGCAGAGUCACACAAGCAAGGCAGCUGGAUUUGUGACAAUGAGAGAAGCGCGGGGUCAAAGAACAUAGAGUGUUUUGAGAACAGUGUCUCCAGAUGAGAGGGAAGAGAACUGAGCAGGAAGCUAAAGAACUGGCGCCAGAAAACCACUCCCAGGAUGCCUACUUUUCAUGCUGCGUGUUUUCAUGUCAAUACCUCUUCCUGUGGCUUUAAGAUUGGAACUAUUUAAAAAAUGUCACUGUCAAUUACAUGCAAACCUUAUUGUGGUUAGUCU
This 718-nucleotide long non-coding RNA is filed under the name Homo sapiens (human). RNAcentral describes it as "HSALNT0009466". The record is from RNAcentral. Lineage: Eukaryota; Metazoa; Chordata; Mammalia; Primates; Hominidae.